RNAcentral lists this long non-coding RNA (1989 nucleotides) under Pelobates cultripes (western spadefoot toad). Lineage: Eukaryota; Metazoa; Chordata; Amphibia; Anura; Pelobatidae. The record is from RNAcentral.
GUCACCUGAUUCUAAUGGCUCUUCUAUGGGUUGGUUUUCAUCUUUAACAAUGUUUGAUACUUCAGGUGUUAAGGUGUCUGGACCUACAGAUGCAUCCUUCAUGAAAGAAAAGUAAGGGUUCUGAAUGGAUUGACUAUUUUGCAGCAUUUCCUUCGCUUUACGGAGCACAUCCCCGGGGGUUUCAUCAGGUUCCUUUUGGUCACUUAUUUGUGAUUCUUGGAUAAUUUUUGUUGUAUUUCAAGAAGCACUGCGGAACUUAGAGAUGUAAGAAUAGGACCAAGCUGUUUCUAAAUUUAGAGCACUCAAUCGGUGCUCAUUUUGUCUCUCCCCAAAAGAAGUGAACUGCAGUUUUACACCUUUUAAAGGAUUUAUUUGAUCUCUCUUAGAGGUGGAAGAUUUCACUUCAGGUACAUUGAAAACUGGUGAUUUUACGGAAGGCAUUCUAGGGCUCUUAGGCUCACAUCCUCAGCCUUAUCUUCCUCCAGUUUAUCACAAAUAUCAGGCAUAACUUGAUCUUCCAUCGUAUUUAUCCUGUCCACGUUUUCUAUUUGGUCUUUUUUUGAUUAAUUGUUGCUUAAUUCUGUAAUUUCAGAAAGUAAAUCUGUUUCUAAAGUUUGUUGCAUUUCCACGCCCUUGUGUCAUGGGUAUGGAGUCCAUCUGUAUGGUUUAUCUUUCGAACAGUUAUUGGCUUUGCCUGGGCAAACUAAUGGUUUCACUGUGGAAGUAAUGCUGGGUUUUUCCAAUAACUCUGACUCAAAAAUAUUUUCUUGUGGAAGUGUAUCACGGGAAAGUUCUUUGUGCUUUCUUGAGUUUGUAUCUGAAUUUAAUAAUGUUUUCCGAUUGCUGCUGUUUUCAGUUUUUUCCAGGUGAAUCUCCCUUUACUGAACUUAUUACAAUUUGUCUUAUUCCACCCUGGAUCUUUUUCUUGUGUUGAAUCACAAUGCCUUAGAUUUCGGUUUCUUGCUUGUGGAAAUGUAUCGACAUUGCCACCAAAAUUCCAAGGUUUACCUUUGUAUGGAUUAGGCUGCCAGUUUCCUACACAGUUUCUAGGGGGCAGGACAGGAAAACUACUAUUUCUGUCAUGGUGCCAAUGAAAGUUCCUACCUAGUGCCAACUAGUAGGACCUCCUGGAUUUGAGUGCCGUGAGCCUCCACCAUGGGUCUGAUGACGGUUUGAUGGACUGUUUAAAUGCCAGUCAGGUCGGCCUCUAGAAUCAGGAAGAUGCCUAUGGUUUACGUUUAGUGCAGGAUGCUGGUAAUUACCCUGCCUAGAAUUGUCCUUCACUUUGCCACUGCCAGCCCCACAGUGCCAAUCUUGGGGCCCCCCUUCCUUAAACAAAAGAUGGUCCUCUCUUCUCCUCUGGUAUCGGUCUUUUUCUUGUUCUUUGGAUGUACAGCAGUUAUCAUCGGGUCGGUUUUGUUCUCUCCUUUGGUUAAUUAACUGGACAAGUUCCUUGUCAAAGUAUUCUUCCUCGUCAUCAUCUUUUUCUUCUUCUUUCUUCUGGGCAUCAACAUUAUCUUUGUGCAGCUGGCUUGAGAUGUGUUUAGCGUUUGUUGAGAGGCCCACCACCGUCACUCUUCAUACCCGGCACUCGUGGCUGCAGUCUCUUCCCCUCAUGGAAAGCGUCCUCUUUUUGGAGACCCCGAGGCUGCACAGUCAGGAGAAGUCCCAGCACCGUCCAAUGUCUGCUCUGCUAUUUCUGUGUGGCAGAAAAUAUGUGUCCGGCAAACCAAGCGCAGCGGGUUUCCAGGUACAGUCUAUCUCCAUUUCUGAGUGGAUUCUCUUGGGCUGCAGCCGUGAUGUGCUGGACUUGCCUCUGUCCCUGCUGUCAGCCAUAUCGGGAGACUUGAUGUUCCCUCGUGGGUUCGCCGCUUGCUGGAUCUUCUUGGGAUGGUCCAGGUGGGAAGUGUUUGCAGGGACCAUUCUCACACAUGUGUGUUUCGUUAAGCUGCAUGUUUAGUGUCCCCGGGCGGGAGUGUUUGUUGCGCG